UACGUAGGGGGCUAGCGUUGUCCGGAUUUAUUGGGCGUAAAGAGCGUGUAGGCGGCCAGGUAGGUCUGGUGUGAAAACUCGAGGCUUAACCUCGAGAUGUCAUCGGAAACCAUCUGGCUAGAGUCCGGAAGAGGAGAGUGGAAUUCCUGGUGUAGCGGUGAAAUGCGCAGAUAUCAGGAAGAACACCAAUGGCGAAAGCAGCUCUCUGGGACGGUACUGACGCUGAGAAGCGAAAGCGUGGGGAGCGAACAGG
RNAcentral lists this ribosomal RNA (253 nucleotides) under uncultured bacterium. RNAcentral describes it as "partial 16S ribosomal RNA". It matches the Rfam family "Bacterial small subunit ribosomal RNA", at positions 524 to 776 of the family's 1533-position model. The record is from RNAcentral.